RNAcentral lists this ribosomal RNA (425 nucleotides) under uncultured bacterium. Its description in RNAcentral is "bacterial SSU rRNA". It matches the Rfam family "Bacterial small subunit ribosomal RNA", at positions 356 to 773 of the family's 1533-position model. The record is from RNAcentral.
GGGGAAUUUUGGACAAUGGGCGCAAGCCUGAUCCAGCAAUGCCGCGUGCAGGAUGAAGGCCUUCGGGUUGUAAACUGCUUUUGUACGGAACGAAAAGGCUCUGGUUAAUACCUGGGGUCCAUGACGGUACCGUAAGAAUAAGCACCGGCUAACUACGUGCCAGCAGCCGCGGUAAUACGUAGGGUGCAAGCGUUAAUCGGAAUUACUGGGCGUAAAGCGUGCGCAGGCGGUUUUGUAAGACAGAGGUGAAAUCCCCGGGCUCAACCUGGGAACUGCCUUUGUGACUGCAAGGCUGGAGUACGGCAGAGGGGGAUGGAAUUCCGCGUGUAGCAGUGAAAUGCGUAGAUAUGCGGAGGAACACCGAUGGCGAAGGCAAUCCCCUGGGCCUGUACUGACGCUCAUGCACGAAAGCGUGGGGAGCAAAC